Molecule: long non-coding RNA, 719 nt
Organism: Labeo rohita (rohu)
Lineage: Eukaryota; Metazoa; Chordata; Actinopteri; Cypriniformes; Cyprinidae
Exons: 6
Source: RefSeq, a predicted model, not a curated record
CCUUUAUACAUUCAUUUAUGCGUGACAUCUACUUGCUUUAAUGGGCGCAAACACUGAACAUUCACGUCUGGAGCAGAAGGAGUUACCAUGGAAAUGGGGCGGAAACUCAACUGUCCAGCAGCAAAACACGUCUCCCACUGUUGUUUUCACAAAUUUCAGAAAUGGUUUAUUGUCUUCAGAAAAAGUCCAUUAGCGUCUGAACCAUAAUGCUAACUAUAAGAGGUUUUGCAGGCAAUUUGUCAUUGGAUGAAAGGAAAAUCUUCCAUGCUAAUGGCCGUGCACCAGAGUUGGAGCGUAUCUCCUGUCGAAAAACAUCUCUAGACAUUAUGAACCAUAUGACUAAGACUGAAAAUCAUCAGUAAAAUACAAGUGGAUUGAUAGCUCCAACACCAAUUAAGCAGACCUGAACAGCUGAUCAAGGAUCACCAGAAACUCUGCAGAACGUUGGUCCUCAAUGCCCAGGACUGGAAACCAGAGUUGUAAGUCAUCAAUCUAGCAGUCAUCCUGCCUCUCUGAAUUGUCAUGUUUAGAACAUAUUUCAGGAGAUCUCAACAUUGUCUCUCGAGGUCCACUUACAUGCAGCGUUUUGCUCCAACCUCGUCCAGUGCGUCUGAACAAACUAAUCAAGGUCUUCAGUUUAACUAUAAAUUUACCUAAACUAUGGGUGUGUAUCUCUCAGGUCCCUUGAUCAUUAGUCAGUGGUUAAAGGAGAACUACAC